UAAACUUAGACUUGAGUAGGUCGAGCGGUUGAUUAAUAUGGAUUGGAACUCGGCUGCUCAAGGCCGCGUGAAUAAACAGGAGCGCGCAGCGGCUGCGCUCACCGCUCCCUGAACUUCUCUGGGGCGCCGGGAGCCGGAACUGCGAAGCAGCUGGUUCCAGAUGCGGGCGGGACUGCGGGUCCGCCUAAACCAGCGCGGUCUCUGUGCGCCCCCCGACCCGCGCACACACACCCUAGCCUGGAUGCCCUAGCGUACCGCAGGCGGCACGGAUCUGCGCGCACUCAACUCUCUGGGGUCUUUGGACACCGUUUCUUUGCUUUCUAGAAGCUGCCUCCACUCUAGGAUAUAGAUUCAGAUUUUGGGAACCUGGGGUGCGGGAGGUUGGGGGUGGGGGAGAUUCUCCCCAUUCCCCAAGUGUUGGGCAAGGGUUACCCAACUUGAAUCACUGCGCAAAACAAAGGCGACCCUAAAUGUAUCCACGGAUGCGCGGGGUGGAGAUCCUGGCCCCGCAGCGAGAAAGAAUGUGUUGAGCCGCGGAUUCCGGGGAGGACACCGCGCUCACAGAAGGCGCUUGUUUCUGAAGUCUGCGGGCCUACAGGCGGCUGCGGGGAUCAUCACCUACCCACUACACGUCCAAAGACUUCACCAUCUCCCGCUUGGAAAAGUCGCCCUUGCGACUUGUCUCCCUGAAGCCACCGUGUCUUCGUCUUUGGAACCUACGAGAAGUGUCAAAGCUAAGUGUACGUGUAGGCCUCGGCAGCUUCACCACCCGCCCCCGCCCAUGGCCUCCAGGUCUCUGUUUCUCCGCUCUCAUCUGCACACACUGAGUGACCUGUCUGGACCGGGGCGGAAUCGGGUGCCCGCCAACCCCAGCGCAGCUCAGAGUCUCAGCGAGGAGGCGAAGGCUUGGCGGGAUGAGGCUUCCGUGGGCCUUAACGCCUUCCUCAAGCCUGCAUACUCCUGCUGCUGCAAAACCAACAAGGCCCCACGUCCCACCCUGGGCUGCCACCUCCGCCCACACCACGAGUCUAAGUAGUCGGCUUCUCAGCAUCCCCAGGACUGCGCGCUCCGGGCGGUGCGGGGCGCAGUGCAGCGCUGGGAAGGUGGGAAGCGCUUCGGAAAAGACACUCAUCGUGCCAGUCAUUAGGUUGGUGGGAUGAGCUCCCAAGAGAGCUACUUGGAGCUUACCGCCACUCCCCUGUCCCUAGCAUUUGUCCGAGGUCACCCAAAGGCGGCCCUUGAGAUAAGGAGCGGGGUUUGUCUGCUAAAGUGUUGGGGACAAGACCAAGCCUGAGACCCAACCCAGAUCCCAAGGCCCAAGGCUUUUCUUAAAAACUGUUCCCUGGAAAAUGGUGUGGGCUUGGGACAUCUAUUGACCCACGCGCCCCAGCCCAGGUCCUGGGCUGCCUUCCCGCACCCAGAUCACAUUUAUUGGACAUAAAGUCCGCCCUAGUCCGUGGCUGGGAGCUUUUCUCUUUGCAGGAAGAACAGAGGUUGACAAUUCUAGAACAGCAGGGCAAGCCUCGGAGGACGUUUGGGUCUACUGGCGAAAGAGAAGAGAAAGACCUUUCUGCUGGGAAAAUGCUGUCUCAUAAGAAGGCUGAAAAUCCAUCCUAUCAUGACUGCAGACAGACAGGUCGGGGGACACUCUCUUGUUCUAAGGGAAGCAAGCUGCUCCAUGGAAAGGCCCACAGGGCAAGAGCUGAUGUAUCUGGCCAAAGGACAGCAAAGACUCAAGGCCUGUCAGCAGCUAAGUGAAAAAUCACCCAAUCAAACCUUGAGAUGACUACAGACCCAGGUGGCACCUUGAUUGCAGCUUUGGAAGAGACCCUGAGCUAGAGGAU
This 1844-nucleotide long non-coding RNA is filed under the name Pongo abelii (Sumatran orangutan). RNAcentral describes it as "lincRNA". The record is from RNAcentral. Lineage: Eukaryota; Metazoa; Chordata; Mammalia; Primates; Hominidae.